Molecule: ribosomal RNA, 1213 nt
Filed under: Bacillus sp. (in: firmicutes)
Lineage: Bacteria; Bacillati; Bacillota; Bacilli; Caryophanales; Bacillaceae
Description: bacterial SSU rRNA
Rfam family: Bacterial small subunit ribosomal RNA
Source: RNAcentral
ACAGAUGGGAGCUUGCUCCCUGAUGUUAGCGGCGGACGGGUGAGUAACACGUGGGUAACCUGCCUGUAAGACUGGGAUAACUCCGGGAAACCGGGGCUAAUACCGGAUGCUUGUUUGAACCGCAUGGUUCAAACAUAAAAGGUGGCUUCGGCUACCACUUACAGAUGGACCCGCGGCGCAUUAGCUAGUUGGUGAGGUAACGGCUCACCAAGGCGACGAUGCGUAGCCGACCUGAGAGGGUGAUCGGCCACACUGGGACUGAGACACGGCCCAGACUCCUACGGGAGGCAGCAGUAGGGAAUCUUCCGCAAUGGACGAAAGUCUGACGGAGCAACGCCGCGUGAGUGAUGAAGGUUUUCGGAUCGUAAAGCUCUGUUGUUAGGGAAGAACAAGUGCCGUUCAAAUAGGGCGGCACCUUGACGGUACCUAACCAGAAAGCCACGGCUAACUACGUGCCAGCAGCCGCGGUAAUACGUAGGUGGCAAGCGUUGUCCGGAAUUAUUGGGCGUAAAGGGCUCGCAGGCGGUUUCUUAAGUCUGAUGUGAAAGCCCCCGGCUCAACCGGGGAGGGUCAUUGGAAACUGGGGAACUUGAGUGCAGAAGAGGAGAGUGGAAUUCCACGUGUAGCGGUGAAAUGCGUAGAGAUGUGGAGGAACACCAGUGGCGAAGGCGACUCUCUGGUCUGUAACUGACGCUGAGGAGCGAAAGCGUGGGGAGCGAACAGGAUUAGAUACCCUGGUAGUCCACGCCGUAAACGAUGAGUGCUAAGUGUUAGGGGGUUUCCGCCCCUUAGUGCUGCAGCUAACGCAUUAAGCACUCCGCCUGGGGAGUACGGUCGCAAGACUGAAACUCAAAGGAAUUGACGGGGGCCCGCACAAGCGGUGGAGCAUGUGGUUUAAUUCGAAGCAACGCGAAGAACCUUACCAGGUCUUGACAUCCUCUGACAAUCCUAGAGAUAGGACGUCCCCUUCGGGGGCAGAGUGACAGGUGGUGCAUGGUUGUCGUCAGCUCGUGUCGUGAGAUGUUGGGUUAAGUCCCGCAACGAGCGCAACCCUUGAUCUUAGUUGCCAGCAUUCAGUUGGGCACUCUAAGGUGACUGCCGGUGACAAACCGGAGGAAGGUGGGGAUGACGUCAAAUCAUCAUGCCCCUUAUGACCUGGGCUACACACGUGCUACAAUGGGCAGAACAAAGGGCAGCGAAACCGCGAGGUUAA